GUAAGUUAAUUUCAGUUGCAUCACACUAAAACAAGUGCUAGAUACCAGAUGUUAGCUGAUGCUGUGAGAUGUCUUAGCAGUGCUAAUAUGUGUUGAAACAUGUGUACCUUCCCAUGACUUGCGAGGAAUUAAAUCGACGAUGAAAACAAUGUACAAUCAUAAAACAUACUACAAUGGACCCGGAAGAGACGCUGCUCGGAGGCUCAUCUGGAACCUCCUCACCUAGGUCAACUCCACCACCUUCUACUCCACUGCGUGCUACAAUUACCGAUGAUCUACCUGGAACAAGGACCCAGCAAACAAGGCGAAUGAGAGACGUCGAUGUGCUGGUGAACCAGAUGCAAGUCAUGACUCAUCAAUGGACGGAGGACAUGGCAAGAAGUGAGGCCCGGGAGGAACGGUUGAUCGCCAGCAUCCUCCGCACUGACAGUAUGGUUGAGAAGCUGAUGCAGAGAAUGGAUAACAUUCAACCUCAACCAAACACAUUCUCACCACCACCACAACAUCAACCACCGCAAGAUGCGUAUUAUGGUUAUGGAUGCCUUACUUAUUUGCACUACCGCCUGAAAAGCAUCGUACCGUUCAUA
Molecule: long non-coding RNA, 587 nt
Organism: Gasterosteus aculeatus aculeatus (three-spined stickleback)
Lineage: Eukaryota; Metazoa; Chordata; Actinopteri; Perciformes; Gasterosteidae
Source: Ensembl